This 28-nucleotide non-coding RNA is filed under the name Rattus norvegicus (Norway rat). The record is from RNAcentral. Lineage: Eukaryota; Metazoa; Chordata; Mammalia; Rodentia; Muridae.
GUGCUGCCUUUUCAGUAAGAUGUGCAGU